Molecule: ribosomal RNA, 494 nt
Filed under: uncultured bacterium
Lineage: Bacteria
Description: partial 16S ribosomal RNA
Rfam family: Bacterial small subunit ribosomal RNA
Source: RNAcentral
GACGAACGCUGGCGGCGUGCUUAACACAUGCAAGUCGAACGGUGAAGCGCCUUCCUUUUUGGUGGGUGUGGAUGAGUGGCGAACGGGUGAGUAACACGUGAGUAACCUGCCCCCUUCUUCUGGAUAACCGCAUGAAAGUGUGGCUAAUACGGGAUAUUCUGGGUCUGUCGCAUGAUGGGUCUGGGAAAGAUAUUGUUUCGGUGGGGGAUGGGCUCGCGGCCUAUCAGCUUGUUGGUGGGGUGAUGGCCUACCAAGGCGGUGACGGGUAGCCGGCCUGAGAGGGUGGACGGUCACACUGGGACUGAGACACGGCCCAGACUACUACGGGAGGCAGCAGUGGGGAAUAUUGCACAAUGGGCGCAAGCCUGAUGCAGCGACGCCGCGUGAGGGAUGGAGGCCUUCGGGUUGUGAACCUCUUUCGCCAGUGAAGCAGGCCUGCCUCGUUUGUGUGUGGGUUGACGGUAGCUGGAUAAGAAGCGCCGGCUAACUACGUG